RNAcentral lists this ribosomal RNA (421 nucleotides) under uncultured archaeon. RNAcentral describes it as "partial 16S ribosomal RNA". It matches the Rfam family "Archaeal small subunit ribosomal RNA", at positions 323 to 746 of the family's 1478-position model. The record is from RNAcentral.
CUACGGGGUGCUGCUGAGAAUUUUUUACAAUGCGCGAAAGCGUGAUAGAGCGAGCCAGAGUGCUUUUCCGUAUUGGAAAAGCUUUUGUAUGAUGUAAAAAGUCAUACGAAUAAGGACUGGGAGAGACUGGUGCCAGCCGCCGCGGUAAUACCAGCGGUCCAAGUCGCAGCCACUUUUAUUGGGUCUAAAACAUCCGUAGCUUGUUUUGUAAGUCUCUAGUGAAAUCUGGCAUCUUAAAUGUCGGGCUUGCUAGAGAUACUGCUUGGCUAGAGACCGGGAGACGUAAGAAGUACGAUUUGGGUAGCGGUAAAAUGCGUUGAUCCUAAUUGGACUAACAAUAGCGAAGGCAUCUUACGAGAACGGAUCUGACAGUGAGGGAUGAAGGCUAGGGGCGCAAAACGGAUUAGAUACCCGGGUAGUC